Molecule: ribosomal RNA, 374 nt
Filed under: uncultured bacterium
Lineage: Bacteria
Description: bacterial SSU rRNA
Rfam family: Bacterial small subunit ribosomal RNA
Source: RNAcentral
GGAGGGUGCGAGCGUUGUCCGGAAUCAUUGGGCGUAAAGGGCGCGUAGGUGGCCCGGUCAGUCUUUGGUGAAAGCGCGGGGCUCAACCCUGCGUCGGCCAGGGAUACUGCCGCGGCUCGAGCACUGUAGAGGCAGGCGGAAUUCCGGGUGUAGCGGUGGAAUGCGUAGAGAUCCGGAAGAACACCGGUGGCGAAGGCGGCCUGCUGGGCAGUUUGGCUGACACUGAGGCGCGACAGCGUGGGGAGCAAACAGGAUUAGAUACCCUGGUAGUCCACGCCGUAAACGAUGGGCACUAGGCGCUUGGGGGAGCGACCCCCCGAGGGCCGGCGCUAACGCAUUAAGUGCCCCGCCUGGGGAGUACGGCCGCAAGGCUG